This is a long non-coding RNA of Lagopus leucura (white-tailed ptarmigan), 220 nucleotides long. RefSeq lists it as uncharacterized. The record is from RefSeq and is a predicted model, not a curated record. The transcript has 3 exons. NCBI's taxonomy places the organism in Eukaryota, Metazoa, Chordata, Aves, Galliformes, Phasianidae.
CCCAAAUCCAGCCAUGUUAUGAGAAAAGUUUACAUUUAUGAGGUGCAGAGCUGUGAUAAUGACAGAAUCAGGCAUAAUGACUCAAGCAUUGUUCCAGGGAAUAAUGGAGGGAUUUCAUGACGACAAUUUCAUUUUAGUUCUUGGUGUUAAAAGAAGUUACUACAAGGUAUUCACCUGUGAGGAUCAAAAAAGUAAAAGAAAGUGGCUGUGGAAACCAAAC